This 253-nucleotide ribosomal RNA is filed under the name uncultured bacterium. Its description in RNAcentral is "partial 16S ribosomal RNA". It matches the Rfam family "Bacterial small subunit ribosomal RNA", at positions 524 to 776 of the family's 1533-position model. The record is from RNAcentral.
GACGUAGGAGGCGAGCGUUGUCCGGAUUCAUUGGGCGUAAAGAGCACGCAGGCGGUUUGGCAAGUCGGACGUGAAAAUCCGGGGCUCAACCCCGGACCUGCAUCCGAAACUGCCCGACUAGAGGUAGGUAGGGGAGAUCGGAAUUCCUGGUGUAGCGGUGAAAUGCGCAGAUAUCAGGAGGAACACCGGUGGCGAAGGCGGAUCUCUGGGCCUUACCUGACGCUGAGGCGCGAAAGCUAGGGGAGCAAACAGG